This is a long non-coding RNA of Haemorhous mexicanus (house finch), 5563 nucleotides long. RefSeq lists it as uncharacterized. NCBI's taxonomy places the organism in Eukaryota, Metazoa, Chordata, Aves, Passeriformes, Fringillidae. The record is from RefSeq and is a predicted model, not a curated record. The transcript is spliced from 4 exons.
UAUUCUGGCUCAAAACAGCAGCUUUGUGAGAGGACACAGCAGCUAAAAUGGGAUGAGGCUGGAGGGCCAGGUGCAGCAUGAAAGAUUUCAGUGUCCCAGGUGCUGCCAAUGAUAACAAAAACAGAGAGAAGCCUGCUGCAUCCUCCUGCCCAUGCACUUGGACUUCCAGCCAAGCACCUAAAUUAGGGGCCGCACAAGAUUCUGCAAGAACACCUUCAAAGAUCCUAAUCACUUCGGGAAAAAAAAAUUACAAAGGGAACGAACCACCCACCUCUUCCACCAAGAAAGGAAAAGACAGAACGGCUCUACUGCAGCUACUGCUGGGGAACACAAGAAGCCAAGGAGGCAGCUUGAGAACUGGAAUCGUUGUAACCUGACUUAGACCCAGCAAACACGAGGUUCUCAGAGGUGAGAUCUUUGUGCAGAGCCGAGUUUCCAGGACAGCUGUGCCCCAGAUGGAGGCCAGUGUGGCUGUGCAGUGCUGUGCUUACUUGGCGAGCUGCAGGACGUUGCGGUAGCAGCUGUACAGGGAGCUCUCGGCCGCCGUGCGGUACCGGCUCUUGUACUUGGGGCCCACCGUGUGGAUGAUGAAACGCGCAGCCAGGUUAAAUCCUUUCGUCAGCUUGGCCUCGCCUGUCCUGCAGCCUGCCACCAAUAAAACAGCGGGGUUGCUGGUGGCCACAACAGGGAAUGAGUCAGAAGAAGCAGCUGCAGGCAGCCUUCAGGCAGCAGUGCUGCAGCAGCUUGGCUUAAGCUGCCCACUGAACAGGGAUGUUCAACUCUCCCACUCCACUCUCUCCUCAUAGUGCUCAGGCAAGCUAGCAGUAUGCAUGAAAGCAUAUUUUAUGGGAAGAGACACUCCAGGCUGAGAAUCUUCCUUAUCUAAAACUUCAAGAGUAUCUUUUUAAUGGCAACCACACUGCUGCCUUGAAGCCAGCAUCUUGUAACUUUUUGAUCCAACAAAUCACAUAAUUAGCUCUAUAGACCUCUACCAUGCUUCUUCUGGGUUAAUCAGAAGGAAGAAAACACCAUACUAAAACUAAGCAUACUCUUCUGAAUUUCCUGCACAGCCUCUAAAACAGCUCGAGAGACGGAUUAAAUAAGCACAACAUGGAAAAAGGAAAGCCAAACCCAAAACAAUGUAUCAGAUAUCAAGUUACUUUUCUUCCUCUGCAGUCCCCACGCCUGACAAUCAGUGAGGAGCAAGCAAAGGCCUGUAGGAAAAACUUGUGAAAAAAAGAAUGAAGCAAGUUUGAUUGUGGUAUAGCUGUGAAUUCAGUAGGGAAACCAAUAAAUUCAGGGAAGCAGAUGUAGCAUUGGUAAUCUUUAAUUAUAAAGAUCACACUUCAUACCUCCCAAGGCAUUCUGCCUGGAGAUGUCUAUACAACUUAUAAAAUUAAAUGAGCAGUAGGUAUUACUCUUAUUUUAAAAUACAAGGUGAGGGGAGCUGCACAAGUCAAGGUCUGUGGCAAAACUGAGAACAAAGUCAAGAUCCUAUUUUUUAUCCGAUAAGAUUUCAGCUAUUAGAAUAGCUUACUCAAGUUUAAAAUGGAAAGUCUGGAUCGUCUACAUCAUGUGUGCGGCAGAGAAAAAGCAUCACCAGAGCUGUAAGUGCCCCAAAAGGUCUUUAUUAGACUGCAACAUGUAUUUGUUGAUAAGCAAGCUUCUAUCAACAGCACUACAUCUGCAAGCCUGCCCCUGGCUGUAGUAUUUCUGCAUUAAUCAAAACUCAUGCUGCUCCCAGGAACAUACAACUUAGCUGAGCCUUAAAGAAGGCACAGGCCUUUGAAGAGUCAGCAUGUCACAUACUUUCAGGACAUGGUUUUUCUUGGAAUCUAUGAAAUGUGAAUAUAUACCAAGCAGCAGGAAUAAAGCAGGAGAGACCUAACUGAAAAUGCAUUUUACAGCUUUAGAACACAGACCAGCAUUUUCCCUUUUUCAGCACAUUCUCUAAUGAAAAAAUGUCAAGGCUAAGUGGGAAAGAGGGCAAAAAGGAAGCAGAGGUGACAAAUGAAUCCUAAACUGAUUUAACUAAGCUCUCCAUCCACUUCUGCUACUGUGACAAAUAUACCAUGGGUGCUUAAAUGCCAAAUCUGUAACCCAGCCUCUCUUUCCUCCCCCACACAACAUGUCAGUAGGGUGUCACAGAAGAACUGAUUUCCAUAAAGCUCUUGGCACAAGAUUAAAAGAGAAGUGUCUUCAUAGGGAGUUGUGAACCUGCAGAAUGCAUUACAGGGAGAAGACAUGGUGUUUUCACUGUGGUAGAAGAUGCAAAACUAUGCAUAACUCAGCAGGGUAAAAGGGAAUUUAAGAAGCUGAGCACAACAGCUCCUUACAGAGCUGACAGAUCUCAGACUUUAGGACUCCUUGAAAUGCAGCUCCUCUCUUCCCACCUCUCAGUCCACACAAGAAACCCAAGUGUAUUUCAGAUGAGUUCUGGCAUAUAAUGUGGGGUCCUAACUAUUCUAGAUCACCUACGGUAUUUUAAUUUCCUCCCACAGCAUACACUGAAUUUUUGCUCUGUUAUAAAAUGGCUACUCUUUCUCCUGUUUAAUUUCUAGGUUACUCAAAAAAAGCAAGCUGAAUCAGCAAAGGAUGAUUUUAUAGAAAGAGGACCUCUAUUCAAUUGCAAUUUAAGCUACUGAGAGUUUAUAUUAGAAUUAUGGCUCUUCUAUAUCCAUUUUGUCACGAUGUAAGGAGACCAAGCUAUGUAAGGACCAAGUUAUCAAGAGUGAGCAGUACCAUACAGAGACCUCAAAAUUCAGUUCAGUAUCAUAGUUCCCAGAGAUGUGAAUUUUUAUCUGCAAACCAUAUUAGACUUCUGUAUGACCUUGGAUAACUAUAAACUUUUGUUUGUCACACACAAAAUAAGGAAGCUCUUAUUCCCAGUGCCUGUUAGAUGAAAAACAAAGGUUGAGUAUUCAUCUCCCAUUAUCAACAAUAAACUCGUUUAAUAAAGGCUCUAGGCAAACCUCAUCCAUUUCUACAACAGCCUUGCAUUAGGGCUUCUCUUUUAGCUUUCCAAUAAAGUCAUUUGUUGUACACGAGAGACAAAUGAACCAACCAACUUAAGAAGUCACAAAGAUUUUAUUUAGACAUGCAGUGUUUCAUCAAUCCAUCUAUUAUUAUCAUAUCUUUCUGAAAGACUGUGUGUAUAUUAAUAUCCUGAAAGAGGAUACACAAAGUGCAUGACAUAAUCCACUUAACUUCUUUAAUGGUGAACUUCAGUUUCUGUCUUUCAUUAUGUAUACACACUGAACAGGAUAAAAUCUCAAGAUGUACAAGACUGGUCCCUUGAGCAAAAGCUCUGAUAAGCUAACUGCUCAAAGUGGCUUCAGACACCAAUGGGAAUUCUUGUAUCACAAAGUAAGGGCUCAUCAACUCAAAUAUCUGCCACAGACUUUCAAUUAUCUGUCACGUGAGCAGCAAAAAGAGACUGGACUGGCAGGUGUUUCCCCCAUUUUUUUUAAUGUUAAUAUCAGCUGUUGGGGGCUGGGGAAAGCUCUAUCUUUUUCAUUUGUUCCUCAAUCCUGAUGCUUUGUACUAUGCAAGGACAGGAGACUUCAAUAAGAUAAAAAUGUCUCUGGCCACUUACCUUUGAGCUUCUGGAGCUCAUCCUUCAGGUCAGGCCCAGCAUGCAUGAAUAUACUUUCAGACACCGGGUUCUUAUCUGUGAGAGUCUCAUUGCUGGUGUUUACGAUGGCCGUGCAGUUCAGUAACGCCACAUCUCCUUUCCUGAGGAAACAGUUUAUUGCAGCCUGAAUGUACAACUGAGCAGGAUAUUCUCAAAUCAGUGCUGACAAGAGAGGAAAUGUCGAGUUACAGGAAAAGCAUCGACAAGACUCCAGUGCCCACACAGCACAGCGUACCCCGAUGUGCUCACCAAGCCGAAUCAUCUCUGGCCUCUCCCUGAUGGAGACAGACUGCAUGCAAAACUCAGCUCUUUAGAGUCCCAGCCUCAGCAGUAACUUGGGGUGUUUGUAGAAAAGGCAGUGCUGUAGCUGUAUGUAGGGCAGCUCAGGCAGCAAACAUGCAAAGCAGCUUGUUAAACUGAUGGAGUGCAACACUUCCAAAAACCCACAUAUUUUCUCUUGGGGAUAAGAGGACAGCCCUUGUGUUAUAUUAUUUUCAAAACUUAAACAACCUUUUCAAGGCACUUCUUUUAUUUUUUUGCAGACAGACUAUCCAGGGCACCUUACAACUGCUCUUCCUCAGACCACUGUGGGUAUAGAGUGAUGCUGCAGCCAGACAAGUUUUCUUCUUUUUGCUCCCAAAUUGUGAACCUUCAAGUUGAUCGUGUUCAUUCUGCUGUCCAAAGAUCAGACAUGCAGAAGAUAAACAAGUCACAGAUGCAUAAGGGACAAUGGAGUAGCAGAACUUUGACCUGCUUUUUGUCACAGCAGCAGCCAUCCGGGAUUUUGGGAUCAAAGAGCAUAGGAAGGGAAAUAAAGAUUCCCACGCACAGGGAGCAACUAAACUAACAGUUGAAAUUGCACACAUUUGCCCAAGCCAUAAGAGAUAUUUAACCUUUUACUCCUCUCUUUCUUUACUCUCUGUUUUACUCCUCUCUUUCUUUAUUUAAUUGAGUUCAGGAAAUCCAUGAAGAAUCCCAUUUCCUCCAUAUGUUAACCAGAAAGAGGUUCAGGCUGAUCCUUGAAUCUGCAUCCCUGAGAAAUCCUUCUCCCUUCACACUGAUUAAGUUAAGAGUUAUUCAUCUAAAGAGCAGCCUCAAGUAUCUGAGUAACAGGAAAGAAACACUGGUGGAGUACAGCACACUAUACUUCAUCAAUCAAUUUUGAAAGAAAGUCAUGGAGAAAAAACACAGAAUGGUGGAAGGAGGGGCAGGAAGAGCCAGAAGCAAGCCACAAGAAUCACAGAAAAGAAAGAAAUACUGAUUUAAAACAGAAACGUGAAAGCAGAAUAACACCAGCAAAUACAGAAAAAAGCUACUAAACAGCAAACAUAUUUUUUUAAAAUUAAAAACUCAUAUCCAAAUGCCCAACUAGAUUUUGAUACUAAGCAUACUGUAUCACAGUAGGAAGUACAGCUCCAGUCUGCUGCAUCAAGGACUGCCUGUGAGCAAAACCUAUGGUGGAGCAAAAUCCCACACUUUAAAAGUUACAGUGAACAAAAAGAUUAUGUUAUUCCCAGACCUGUAAUGUUUGAUUCAAGAAAAGAGGAUUUAGAAGUUUUAUUCUACAGCAGUGAUCAUUACAUGAAGAUAUGGAUCCUGCAGUAAAUGGAGAAGUGAUGACUGACACCCGAAAGCCACAUGGAACUUACCACAAGAUUAUUUUUUCAUUGAUGUCUUUCCUGUAUGGAAAAGGUGAUCUAACAUCAACUUGAGCUUUUUCAACAGGACUUUGGUGACAAUCCAGCUGCUUGGCCUCAUAGGCAUCACUCCAGCCUGGCAGACUAUCAACAUCCACAAACUGGGAAGGAGCACCCAAGGGAUCCAUGGAAUGGAAACAGCAACUCCCUUCCUCUGCUAACUUGUCACACUCCAGUUUUCACUGGAGUCUUCCAGGUGCUUUAAAGAAAAAAAAAAAAAAAAAAAAUCAAA